UAGGGAAUCUUCGGCAAUGGGGGCAACCCUGACCGAGCAACGCCGCGUGAGUGAAGAAGGUUUUCGGAUCGUAAAGCUCUGUUGUAAGAGAAGAACGUGUGUGAGAGUGGAAAGUUCACACAGUGACGGUAACUUACCAGAAAGGGACGGCUAACUACGUGCCAGCAGCCGCGGUAAUACGUAGGUCCCGAGCGUUGUCCGGAUUUAUUGGGCGUAAAGCGAGCGCAGGCGGUUUAAUAAGUCUGAAGUUAAAGGCAGUGGCUUAACCAGUGUUCGCUUUGGAAACUGUUAAACUUGAGUGCAGAAGGGGAGAGUGGAAUUCCAUGUGUAGCGGUGAAAUGCGUAGAGAUAUGGAGGAACACCGGUGGCGAAAGCGGCUCUCUGGUCUGUAACUGACGCUGAGGCUCGAAAGCGUGGGGAGCAAACAGG
This 429-nucleotide ribosomal RNA is filed under the name bacterium. Its description in RNAcentral is "partial 16S ribosomal RNA". It matches the Rfam family "Bacterial small subunit ribosomal RNA", at positions 355 to 776 of the family's 1533-position model. The record is from RNAcentral.